GAGGAAAAACAGGAGAGCUUGGAAUAGGGCUGGGUAGCAGCGACAGUGACCCACUAGCUCUAUUGACUUUCAAUACCUUCUAAUGGGGGGCUCUUGAGUGAGAAGCAAGAGGCUUCUAAAUGCACUUGUCUUGCCCAGCUUUACAGGCACUAGCAACCCCUGGCAACCGACUGAGGACUCCAGCAUCUUCAGCAUUCAAAGGGCAAGGUCUAGAACCCAGGAACCAAAUGAAAAAUUGUACUUCGGGUCCAGAGCUUUGAGUUCUGUAAUCAGCUUGACUGAUUUGCUCCUAUAGUGAAUUCAGCUGGAAGGAGGGUUUGUGAAGGCGCCCAGCACACACCGGCUCCAGUCUCCGAUCAGCUGGCGGCGUGGUGACGCACGAGCUACGAAGGCAUCUCCCAGGGCCAAUCACCGCCUACUGCUGGGCAACGUGACCACACCCACUCGGGGGGCGCCAGCACCUCUGCUUACUCCCGCCCCUCCCGGCGUCUGGGCUCUGAUUGGCAAGGAGGCCACCCCCUCGCCCGGAGGAACUGCUCUAAGCCACGCCCAACAACUGACCAGCUGGCCAAUAGCUGAAAAGGUGUGGCUAGCCCUCGGCCUAGGCCACUCGCUUAGACCAGUUCUACGUCAAGCCACAGUUUAAAGAGCAGAAGGAAGUGAAGGCGUGUGCUUUUGCAGUGCAUCUUGGUCAAUGAAGUUCUUUAUGGUGACACUCGGCUUCCCAGAAUGCAGCGCGCUCUAGAACCUCAGAACUGAUUCACCAGCCUCCACAGAAGGCCUAAGUUAAAGAAAGGUGGAGCCCGAGAAGCAACAGGAGUGGGCAGAGCUGAAGAUGGAAGUCAGCCACCGAUGCAACCGAACU
This is a long non-coding RNA of Alexandromys fortis (reed vole), 865 nucleotides long. RefSeq lists it as uncharacterized. The transcript is spliced from 3 exons. The record is from RefSeq and is a predicted model, not a curated record. NCBI's taxonomy places the organism in Eukaryota, Metazoa, Chordata, Mammalia, Rodentia, Cricetidae.